RNAcentral lists this ribosomal RNA (468 nucleotides) under uncultured bacterium. RNAcentral's name for it is "partial 16S ribosomal RNA". It matches the Rfam family "Bacterial small subunit ribosomal RNA", at positions 28 to 507 of the family's 1533-position model. The record is from RNAcentral.
GACGAACGCUGGCGGCGUGCUUAACACAUGCAAGUCGAACGGAAAGGCCCUGCUUUUGUGGGGUGCUCGAGUGGCGAACGGGGGAGUAACACGUGAGUAACCUGCCCUUGACUUUGGGAUAACUUCAGGAAACUGGGGCUAAUAUCGGACAGGAGCUCCCGCUGCAUGGUGGGGGUUGGAAAGUUUCGGCGGGUGGGGAUGGACUCGCGGCUUAUCAGCUUGUUGGUGGGGUAGUGGCUUACCAAGGCUUUGACGGGUAGCCGGCCUGAGAGGGUGACCGGCCACAUUGGGACUGAGAUACGGCCCAGACUCCAACGGGAGGCAGCAGUGGGGAAUAUUGCACAAUGGGCGGAAGCCUGAUGCAGCAACGCCGCGUUCGGGAUGACGGCCUUCGGGUUGUAAAACGCUUUCGCCUGUGACGAAGCGUGAGUGACGGUAAUGGGUAAAGAAGCACCGGCUAACUACGUG